Molecule: long non-coding RNA, 1244 nt
Filed under: Marmota monax (woodchuck)
Lineage: Eukaryota; Metazoa; Chordata; Mammalia; Rodentia; Sciuridae
Source: RNAcentral
GGGGAUUGAACUCGGGGGCACUUGACCACUGAGCCACAUCCCCAGCCCUAUUUUGUAUUUUAUUUAGAAACAGGGUCACACUGAGUUGCUUCAAAGCUAAGGCUGGCUUUGAACCUGAGAUCCUCCUGUCCCAGCCUCCCGAGCUGCUGGGAUUACAGGCAUGUGCCACCAUGCCUGGCUCAUUAUGGUUUUAAUUUGCACUUUUCCUAAUGGCAAAUGAUGUUGAACAUCUUUUCAUGUGCUCAUUUGCCAUCUCUAUAUCAUUUUUAGCAAAAGGUCUGUUUAAAUCAUUUCACUAAUUUUUUAAAGUGGGUUGUUUUCUCACUGUUGGUUUUUUGUUGUUAUUGUUGUUGUUGUUGCUGCUGCUGCUGUUGUUGUUAUUUGGUACCAGGGAUGGAACUUAGAGGUACUCCACCACUGAAACACAUCCCCAGCCCUAUUUUGUAUUCUAUUUAGAGACAGGGUCUCACUGAAUUGCUUAGGGCCUCACAGUUGCUGAAGCUGGUUUUGAACUUGCGAUUCUCCUGUCUCUGCCUCCCAAGGUGCUGGGAUUACAGGUGUGUGCCACCCCGCCCGGCCUUACUGUUCAGUUUUGAGAAAUCUUUUUGUAUUUUUGAUGUCUUGUUGCAAUCCUUUGUUAGCUAUGAGAGUUGCAAAUAUUUUUCCCUGUCUCUAGCUUUUUAAAUUUCUUUAAACAUUGUUUUCAACAGAGCAAAAGUUUUUAGUUUUGUUGGAGUCAAAUUUACACAUUUUUUAUUUUUCUGUUUUUUAAUUUUUUUUGUACCAGGGAUUGAACUCAGGGGCACUCAACCACUGAGCCACAUCCCCAGCCCUAUUUUUUAUUUUAUUUAGAGACAAGUUCUCACUGAGUUGCCUAACACGUUGCUCUUGCUGAGGCUGGCUUUGAAUUUGGGAUCCUCCUGCCUCAGUCCUCAGCCACUGGGAUUACAGGCUUGCCUGGCAAACUUACACACUUUUUUAAAAUGAACUGUGCUUUUGACCUAAGGAUACUUUGCCUAACUCAAAGUCCUGAAGAAUUUUCUCCUGUGUUGUUUCCUUUUCAAAAUUUAUAUUUUGCAAACAUAUUUAUCAAUUAUGGGCUGAUUUUUAUAUGGAAUGUGAGAAUUAGAUUGAGUUUCAAUUUUUUUUUUGCAUAUUGAUGGCUAGUUGUUUAUUGGAAACUAUCCUUACUUCUUUGAAUUGCCCUUGCACCUGGCAACAUUGGCAGAUUUAUACAUUUCAAC